RNAcentral lists this ribosomal RNA (2211 nucleotides) under Triticum aestivum (bread wheat). RNAcentral describes it as "partial small subunit ribosomal RNA". Lineage: Eukaryota; Viridiplantae; Streptophyta; Magnoliopsida; Poales; Poaceae. The record is from RNAcentral.
AUGAGCGGCGGAGGCCCGCCCAGGAAGCGCAACUUCAAGAUCGAGGCGUUCAAGCACCGGGUGGAGCUCGACCCCAAGUACGCGGAGCGGACAUGGAAGGUCCUCGAGCACGCCAUCCACGAGAUCUACAACCACAACGCCAGCGGCCUCUCCUUCGAGGAGCUCUACAGGAGUGCCUACAACAUGGUGCUUCACAAGUAUGGCGAGAAGCUCUAUAAUGGCCUUGAGAGCACUAUGACAUGGCGUUUGAAGGAAAUAUCAAAAUCAAUAGAGGCUGCGCAGGGUGGUUUGUUUUUGGAAGAGCUGAAUGCGAAGUGGAUGGAUCACAACAAGGCAUUGCAGAUGAUCAGGGAUAUUCUAAUGUACAUGGAUCGGACUUAUGUCCCGACAUCCCAUAGGACACCUGUUCAUGAGCUUGGUCUGAAUUUGUGGAGGGAUCAUAUAAUUCACUACCCAAUGAUCCAUGGUCGGCUGCUUGACACCCUUCUAGAUCUUAUUCACAGAGAAAGAAUGGGUGAAGUGAUCAAUAGAGGCCUGAUGAGGAGCAUUACAAAGAUGUUAAUGGAUCUUGGUCCUGCUGUAUACCAAGAUGAUUUUGAGAAACCAUUUUUGGAAGUUUCCGCUAGCUUCUACAGUGGGGAAUCUCAAGAGUUCAUUGAGUGCUGUGAUUGUGGUAACUACCUUAAGAAGGCUGAGAGGCGGCUCAAUGAGGAAAUGGAGCGUGUCUCACACUACUUGGAUGCUGGCAGUGAGGCAAAGAUAACUAGCGUGGUGGAGAAAGAGAUGAUAGCCAAUCACAUGCAUAGAUUGGUCCACAUGGAAAACUCUGGCCUUGUUAACAUGCUUAUAGAUGACAAAUAUGAAGAUUUGGGUAGGAUGUACACCUUAUUCCGAAGGGUUCCUGAUGGUCUAUCAACAAUCAGAGAUAUGAUGACUUCAUACCUAAGGGAAACAGGGAAGCACUUAGUGACAGAUCCAGAGAGAUUGAAAGACCCAGUGGAAUUUGUUCAGUGCUUGUUAAAUGAGAAGGAUAAGCAUGAUAAGAUCAUCAAUGUUGCUUUUGGCAAUGAUAAAACCUUCCAAAAUGCUCUGAAUUCAUCCUUUGAGUUCUUCAUCAACUUAAACAACAGGUCACCUGAAUUCAUAUCACUGUAUGUUGAUGACAAACUCCGCAAAGGAUUGAAAGGGGCAACAGAAGAGGAUGUGGAGGGUAUACUGGACAAAGUCAUGAUGCUGUUUCGGUACCUUCAGGAGAAGGAUGUGUUUGAGAAGUACUAUAAGCAGCAUUUGGCGAAAAGGCUUCUGUCUGGCAAAACUGUUUCUGAUGAUGCUGAGAGGAGUAUGAUAGUCAAACUCAAGACAGAAUGUGGGUACCAGUUCACCUCCAAAUUAGAGGGUAUGUUCACUGACAUGAAGACAUCUCAGGACACCAUGCAGGAUUUCUAUGCCAAGAAAUCCGAGGAACUUGGUGAUGGCCCUACACUUGAUGUCCACAUUCUCACAACUGGCUCUUGGCCAACACAACCCAGCCCUCCCUGCAGCCUUCCACCUGAAAUCCUUGCAGUAUGUGAGAAAUUCCGUGGAUAUUAUCUUGGAACUCACAGUGGGCGGAGGUUAACAUGGCAAACAAAUAUGGGAACAGCUGAUAUAAAGGCCACGUUUGGGAAAAGCCAGAAGCAUGAGCUGAAUGUCUCCACUUACCAGAUGUGUGUUCUGAUGUUGUUCAACACUUCCGAUGGGCUUACCUACAAAGACAUCGAGCAAGCUACCGAGAUACCUUCCACAGACCUAAAGAGAUGUCUCCAGUCUCUUGCUUGUGUCAAGGGGAAGAAUGUUCUCCGUAAAGAGCCCAUGAGCAAGGACAUAUCAGAGGAUGACACAUUCUAUUUCAAUGACAAGUUCACAAGCAAGCUUGUUAAGGUGAAGAUCGGGACAGUGGUGGCGGCAAAGGAAUCUGAGCCAGAGAAGCAGGAGACCCGCCAGCGGGUUGAGGAGGACAGGAAACCUCAGAUUGAGGCUGCCAUCGUCAGGAUCAUGAAAUCUAGGAGGGUCUUGGAUCAUAACAGUAUUGUAUCUGAGGUUACCAAGCAAUUGCAAGCUCGGUUCUUGCCGAACCCUGUUAUCAUAAAGAAACGCAUAGAAUCUCUGAUCGAACGCGAAUUCUUAGAGAGGGACAAAGCAGAUAGAAAAUUAUAUCGCUAUCUUGCAUAA